Molecule: ribosomal RNA, 617 nt
Filed under: uncultured bacterium
Lineage: Bacteria
Description: bacterial SSU rRNA
Rfam family: Bacterial small subunit ribosomal RNA
Source: RNAcentral
AGAGUUUGAUCCUGGCUCAGGAUGAACGCUGGCGGCGUGCCUAAUACAUGCAAGUCGAACGCACAGCGAAAGGUGCUUGCACCUUUCAAGUGAGUGGCGAACGGGUGAGUAACACGUGGACAACCUGCCUCAAGGCUGGGGAUAACAUUUAGAAACAGAUGCUAAUACCGAAUAAAACUCAGUGUCGCAUGACACAAAGUUAAAAGGCGCUUUGGCGUCACCUAGAGAUGGAUCCGCGGUGCAUUAGUUAGUUGGUGGGGUAAAGGCCUACCAAGACAAUGAUGCAUAGCCGAGUUGAGAGACUGAUCGGCCACAUUGGGACUGAGACACGGCCCAAACUCCUACGGGAGGCUGCAGUAGGGAAUCUUCCACAAUGGGCGAAAGCCUGAUGGAGCAACGCCGCGUGUGUGAUGAAGGCUUUCGGGUCGUAAAGCACUGUUGUAUGGGAAGAACAGCUAGAAUAGGGAAUGAUUUUAGUUUGACGGUACCAUACCAGAAAGGGACGGCUAAAUACGUGCCAGCAGCCGCGGUAAUACGUAUGUCCCGAGCGUUAUCCGGAUUUAUUGGGCGUAAAGCGAGCGCAGACGGUUGAUUAAGUCUGAUGUGAAAGCCCGGAG